AACGAACGCUGGCGGCAGGCCUAACACAUGCAAGUCGGACGAGAAGGUUCYUUCGGGAACUGGAGAGUGGCGCACGGGUGAGUAACGCGUGGGGACCUACCUCUUAGUGGGGGAUAACGGUUGGAAACGACCGCUAAUACCGCAUACGCCCUUCGGGGGAAAGAUUUAUCGCUAAGAGAUGGACCCGCGUUGGAUUAGAUAGUUGGUGAGGUAACGGCUCACCAAGUCGGCGAUCCAUAGCUGGUUUGAGAGGAUGAUCAGCCACACUGGGACUGAGACACGGCCCAGACUCCUACGGGAGGCAGCAGUGGGGAAUAUUGGACAAUGGGGGCAACCCUGAUCCAGCCAUGCCGCGUGAGUGAAGAAGGCCUUCGGGUUGUAAAGCUCUUUCAGAUGCGAAGAUGAUGACGGUAACAUCAGAA
RNAcentral lists this ribosomal RNA (422 nucleotides) under Thalassospira sp. S168. RNAcentral describes it as "bacterial SSU rRNA". It matches the Rfam family "Bacterial small subunit ribosomal RNA", at positions 29 to 486 of the family's 1533-position model. Lineage: Bacteria; Pseudomonadati; Pseudomonadota; Alphaproteobacteria; Rhodospirillales; Thalassospiraceae. The record is from RNAcentral.